CGUCCCCCAGGAGAAUUUUUCACUCCACGGCAGAGCAAGGAAGUGACCUCAGAGCGGAAAGGACACCCCGUGGGCAGAGAGAGGUAACUCUGGCUUAGGGUCCAAAGCUAUAACUUUACCCCGGGGGCCCUGGAAACUGCAACCCUCCUCAGCCUCCUGCCAGCCACACGUGGACCACCAGACAUCCCUGUGGCAGAAAGAAUGAUGGCCCCCAAAGACGCCCAGGAACCUGUGAACAUAUUACUUUACACGACACUCAAGGGCUGAUGUGAUUAAGUUAAGGCUCUUCAGACGCGAUCUUUACUCCGGAGCAUCUCCAUGGGCCUAAUGCCAUCGCAAGGGUCCUUCUCAGAGGAAAGCAGAAGGGCCAGAGUCAGCAGGAAGCCGGCGGAAGCAGGGAGCAGAGGAACCAAAAAGCGCAUCACAGCCUCUGCGCCCGGAAGAUUCUCCCCGGGCACUUCCGGAGAGAACCAGCCCCGCCCAGCACUUUCAUUUCAGCCCCUCCAGACUCGUUGUGGACCUCUGACCUCCAGAAUUGUACGGGAAUAAGUUUGUGUUGCUCUAAACCCCUACGUUUGCGGACGUUUGUCACAGCAGCAACGGGACAGUAGAGGCACCGCGAAGAUCAGCUAGGAACCGUACCACUGCAUAUGAAUUAUCCCAGCCAGCGUGGAAGCUUAUCAUGAGACAAGCCCGCCCAGGUAUGGCUGGUUCUCUGCAGUGGGGUGUCGUGGAAAGAGCCAUCUACAAGUUGCAUCUUUGUAACCCGAGUUUUAUCUGCACGACUCAGAGAAGACAGCUAAAGGAACGCUUUGGUGUGCAGCGAGGAUGGAAAAGCACAUGAAUUAACACCCGGGUGAGCAAGAGCCAGGCACAGAGUCUGCUGGUGUGGAACAUACGCCGGGCGGAGAAAGCACCUUGGCCUGGGAACCAAGACACCUGGACUCGUGUCCCACCUCUGACACUGACUGAGCCCUCUCUGGGCCUCUGCCAAAUAAAAGGGCAGCACGAUCAAUUUCUAGGUCUUAGUUCCCACUCUGACGUUAUAGGACUCUAUGCAUAUCAUGUACCCCAAAUGGCCCUCAUCCACACGAGAUGUAUGACCCUGCCUGAGGCAGUUUGCACGGAACAGAAAUCAAAACCGUAAGCCACAGAGCGGAAGCUCCAAUGGUAGGAUUUCCAGUGUUAUCGUUAUGGGAAGAAUGGGGACAAUGUUGAGGACUGAGGGCGAGGUCUGCCAGGUCACAGGUGGUGCUUGAUCUACACAAGGUCAAGGUGUUCAAUCUGGGCCCAUGGGUACCAGCAAGUCCCCGGCACCCGGCUUGGGCUCCAGGUAUAAACUUAGGGGGUCUGUGGGCUCACUGUGGGCUGACUAUUUAGUUUUAAUGCCCAAAACCAAUUUUAAAUAAAAUAAAGGAACCCCCUAAAUAUUCUAGAUGGGGCUUUCUUUUUUUUAGAGGGACAUUUCAAGACUAGUUUCACACAGGUUUAGCCGAAAGGGAAAUUAAACUCUACAUUUAAAUGGGAGAUUACGCACAAAGGAAUCCAUUACUUUCAAUAUUUCUCAGCAGGAGGGCUCAGAGUUAUUUAAAUAAGUUUAGAUAUUAAACCUAAAGUAGCCAUUAAAGCAAUGUGGAUUUGUUUGUCUGUUUUUUUUUUCCCCCAGAAAUCUUUUUUUCCAGCUGACUGAAAAAAUCCAUUGCUUAACCAAUGGAGGAUAUUUUAAUGCAUUAAAAAAAAAUCCAGGGACUUUUUAAUAUAGCACUUCCUUUGAAUUUUUAAGUAGCAUCUUACAGUAAGUGUCAUCCUUUGGACAGAUUAACCAAAGCGCAUUCCCUUCCCCGCCCCCACCCUGGGCAGAACAGCGCUAAUAUAAACACCGACAUUAAACCAUAUUGGCUAUGGAAGAGGCUUUGAUUGUCAUUGAGAUUAUUUUAAAAGUUAUUUAGGCCCCCCUGUUCCAUCUCUGCAAACCACUGAGAAAACGUUGCGCCGGGUUUCUCUUUGCGACAUUUCUUUGGGGAUUCAUAAAUAUUGAUUGUACCGUAAAAAAAUUGAUGGAAUCUUGAAACAGACUGCAGUUGAGGCAGCUGGGGAAUUUACUCAAUUUUUCUCAAUCGCUGCAGUCUAUAAAAAGAGGAGAUUUUGCAAA
This is a long non-coding RNA of Felis catus (domestic cat), 2152 nucleotides long. RefSeq lists it as uncharacterized. The transcript is spliced from 3 exons. Lineage: Eukaryota; Metazoa; Chordata; Mammalia; Carnivora; Felidae. The record is from RefSeq and is a predicted model, not a curated record.